CGCGACGUAUUCGUGGUGCAUUCGACCACAUCAGCCGCUCAUUUUCCUCCUCCUUUCCAUACCACAUCCUUGGCGUCUUUCUGUCUCGCCCAAAUACGCAAAUUGGACGGACGUCAGUCUGUGAGCGACGUCGACAAUGAACGAGAUUCCACUCACAGCGGAGGAGCUGCAGAACAUCCGCGAGUCCACGGCGCUCACGGACGCGCAAGUGCAGCGGCUGUACAAGAGCUUUUCCAAGCUGAACAAGGACAAGUCUGGCAAGAUCACUCGAGCGGAGUUCAACUCGAUCCCUGCACUAGCCUCCAACCCACUCGUCGACAGGGUGCUGGCGGUGAUGGACACGGACGGCGACUCCACGGUGGACUUUGGGGACUUUGUGCGGGCACUAGCGGUGCUCUCCUCGGCGACCUCGAAGGAAGAUAAGCUGCGGUUCACGUUCAAGAUGUACGACAUCGACGGUGACGGCCGCAUAAGCAACAAGGACCUCUUUCAAAUGCUCAGCAUCAUGGUUGGGGUGAACCUCUCCCAGAUGCAGCUGCAGCAGAUUGUGGACAAGACAUUCAUCGAGGCGGAUGCUGAUCGGGACGGCUACAUUACGUUUGAGGAGUUUGAGGCGCUGGCCGUAAACAGCGACUUUGGCGAUCGGCUGAACCUGCACUUUUAGCGCCUCUCCCUCUCUCCCCCUCUCCCCCUCUCUCUCCUACUCGCCCUCCCACUUCUUGAUGUGACUGCUGCUUUGACUCUACUCUCGCUCGCUUGCUCUCGGCAUUGGCUGCGCUGUUAGGCUAAACGACAAUAGAUUUGGCGAUCGCCCCAUCGACGCGCUCCUCCCCCACCCCUCAACUUCCUCCGCUACUCCUCUUCGUGCGUGCAUCCCUCAUUGCCAUUAUUCGCGUGCUAAUCAUGCUUGCACAUCGAAAAACAUUAAGAGCCAGAGCAACUGGCACACAAGUGACACGCGCACGCGCAUCGCGAGAUGUGAUACAGUGCGUACUCCUAGUUGUGUCGUUGCCCAUUGUGCAUACGGCAGGCGGGGGGGGAGGAAAGAAUUGCGCUGCCACAGUUACGCUUUUCUGCAUGUGCGUAAGUGUCGUCGUUGCGUGCGAGUAACGGACAUGACUGGAAACGUCCUGCACGCCCUUCACCCGUUCCGCCCUUCUGCCCCCUAGCGGCAAGGACGGGACGCCAAAGCACUGACUCAUGCGCACACGUAGGGAACCCCCCCUCUCCCCUCUGUCGCUGCCACCCUGUGCGGGUCUGAUCUCGCGUAUUCGCCGGCACUGCAUCGUCCAUCCUGUUCAUCCUUUCCCUCCCCACUUUCUCACUGAUGUCGCACUGUAUGGCAUGCCCUGCCCAUCUCUUACCCCGCAACUCCACUACCGUCGUGCUUACACGCCACGCACACACGUCACACGCGCUAUGAUGUGGACCACUUCCCCCACUGUCAUUUGUUACGUCGCGGGGAAAAAG
This 1470-nucleotide unclassified non-coding RNA is filed under the name Leishmania donovani. RNAcentral describes it as "gene:LdHU3.21.2380(CDS-product:calcineurin_b_subu nit)". The record is from RNAcentral. Lineage: Eukaryota; Euglenozoa; Kinetoplastea; Trypanosomatida; Trypanosomatidae.